Molecule: long non-coding RNA, 4075 nt
Organism: Dermochelys coriacea (leatherback sea turtle)
Lineage: Eukaryota; Metazoa; Chordata; Testudines; Dermochelyidae
Exons: 3
Source: RefSeq, a predicted model, not a curated record
AGGAGGAUACUGCUGCAGGUGGUUAGUGCCCCUAUGGCCAUCACCCCUCCUGGUUGCAAAACCUGGCUCCACCGCUGCUAGGGAGAGUAGUAGUUUGCUGGCUGGGCUAUCCUGGGACUAAAGAUCCCUCCUGUGAGCAAGUGGGGAAAGGAGCCUAUGAGGGAGUAGCCCGAAUAUGCUGGAGACACAGACUAAGACUAAUGAGCUACGUUAUCAACAUCAGCCAGGAGAGGGCUCUGAAAAGGAAGUGCCAUCCUGAGAUCAGAGGAAACCGGGUUCAGCAGAGAGAGCAGUUGCUGGUGAACAGGAGCUGAAGGUUGGAGACAAUCGCAUGGGAGCUGGCUGUGGAAGAGUGCUGGGAGCGGAAGGCUGAGAGCAAGCCAGCAACAGCCUGUUGCUGACUGGGACUCUUGUUUACCCCAGAAGAAUGGAGGACUUCUAAUAUAGCCGGAGGGCUAAACUAACUCAUCCUUCCAGCAGAGAGAAGACAAGUCAAAAAAGGGGAAAACUGAUGCAGCAGCCACACCUUAUGAUGAAACUGAUCCAUGUCUGGACAGACCCAUAUAAAAAGCAAGAAGAUCAGGAAAUACACAAACAUAGCAUCACAUGCUUAAGAAAAUAGUCAUCUUGGAAAUAUCCUGUGAAAUUGCAUCUUGUGCAGAUCAUAUGAACUUGUCCGUCAUCUUUCAACUAUGAUACCAAGACCGAUUUUGACCCGAUAAUAGUUUCCUGUUGCACUGCAAGUGAUUAAUAUACCAAGCAACCCCAUUUUAUUGCUAGCUGUCUUGUUCCAUAAUUAUUUUUUGCGGAUAACCAUUUAGUGGAGAGAUUAUUCAGAUGUUGAUUUUUUUUCUGAUUCUUCCAAUGGAGUAAUCUGUUUUUAAAUAUUAAAGCGAAUCCUCAAAAUUAAGAUGAAUGUUUAGUUUGCAAUUGUUGCUGGAAAAAUUACCAAAAUAGACCCACAAGUCUGUACCAGGAAGAGGGACUAUUAUCAAAAACAUCAUUUGCGUUUUUUAUUAACAUACACUUUCUGUUCAAAUAAAAUAUUGCAUACAUCCACCAACACUCAAUUAUUUUGCUUUAGAAUCCAUAACAUUGAUCUUUUUCUCUUUCCCGCCCUUACAACAUGCUCUGCUCUGAUGGUUUUUCAGAUGAACGAAAACAUUUCCCUGUGUGACUCCACAGACUGGUUUUCCUUUGUUCGUUUGUUCGGGGGUAGAGGAACAUUACACAAACAAAAACUCUGGGGAAAAUAAAAUGACUGCACGGGAAUUAACAAAUGUAACUUGCAAUGGAAAAAUCAUGUACAUAAGCAAAAAAAAAUGCUGUCACUUAACAAACUAGAUAGUUAUAUACCAAACUAUUGAUCCUUGCUGAUGAAUAUGAAUUGGUGGGCUACUUAAGUGGGUAUUUGAAGGUAAGCAAGAAAAAAGAAUAUUGAGAGGAAGGGCUAAAAAUAGGGAAGAGAAAUGUGUAGUAGGAGUAUGGAUGUGUAGGAGAAUAGGUAUUAUAAAUCCUCAGAGGUGAGAUUUAUGGGCUAAUAUACAUCUUGCAAGGGCUCUCGAGUACAUUAAUUAAUCCAGAUUAUUCCUUAUCUUCUCCAUGAUGGAGAAUUGAGAUCUGAUUCUGUUAGUUUAAAGAGAGGGGGAUUGAUCUUCCAGUGGGUUGAAGGCUUAUUUAAGAUCAUUUUGAUUAAGGCUGGUUUUCAGUAGCAUUGGAAAAUAGCCAGAGCAAGAUAAUUUUGUUAAAGGACCAUGCUGUCGUGUGGUGACACUGGAACCAUUUUGCAAUUGGUUAAUUUAUUUUAAUAGAGUCUUGCUACAGUCUAAUGAGAUUGAGUUAUAAUUUUGUUGAGCAGUGGACAACGGGUGGUGAAGAUGUUAAUAUGGCAUUUUGCCAUAUCUUAAACAGAUUUCCAUUCUUCCGGGUAUGAUUAUGUUCUUCAUCCCAUAUUUCUCUGGAUGGGGUAAAUUAGUAUGUAAUCUGAGUGCUGGCCCCAAAUAUAGCAAUUGUAUCUUCUAAUAGAAAGGAGAUGUGAUUUUUGAUUGAGGAUCGUUGUGUAGUAUUUUGUAAAAUGGGAGAUGUGAGUCAGAAUCAGUUCUGAAACUUGGGGGAUGCUCAUAAGGUGGUGUUUUGUAAACUGCUUCCCAACACUAAGGACAUGAUCAAUUUCUAAGAGAAAGUGAAUUGUAUUAUUCCAAAAUGGGAUGUUGGGCAAUGAGCAGAGAGGAUUUCAGUGUGCUACAAAAUAUUUUUGAGGGUAGCUCAAGAAGAGUUUAAGAUUAGGGAUCGUAUUAGAGGUAGGUAAUGGAAUAAAAUCUAAUAAGAUUAAACCAAAUAAGGCAAUAAUUCCUCAUUGGUUGCAAACCAUCUUGUCAUGUUUCUCUUUUGUAAAGCAAUAAUAAGGACUUCUUAUCUGGUAGACUCAGAGCUCCAUUUACUGAUGACUUCUCAAUUAUCUUGUAUGAAUGCCUUGACUAUUAGUUUCAUCUAGGCUGGUAGCUGGAGAUACGUUUGUUGCAGAAAAUGUAGCUGGACUUUUCAGUCCUGGUAUGCUUAAGCAUUACAGGAGAUAUGAGUCGAUGUGAAAUUCUGAAAUUGAAAUAUGACCCAUAAAUGACACACAUAAUGGCUUCCUAGGAAUUGAGUUGUUUAAUUUGAAUUGAUGGAAGGUUUUGUAACUCUUAUAAAUUAAUCUAUCCCUGACUUAUGUAAAAAGGUAUGAAUUUGGAACAAAUCUUCCUUGGAUAUUCUUGAAUUGGACUCCUGUCUUCGCACGUGAGUCUUUACUGGGGAUCUCAGAUUUUGACUUUGUUUCACAAAGAAUACAUGAACACCCAGAAACAUAAUUACUUGACUUUCUCAGAAAACAUGACUGCCAAGGUGAUGGUUUGUGUUACAACUUGAGCCUGGAAAACACAUUAAGGACACUGAGAGUGUCAAAUAUAUGUAACAUGAGUAUGUAUCAUCAGUCACUCUGUGUGGAAGCAAUUCCGAAACAGAUAAUGGAUCAAGACGACAAAUUUAAAAUAAAAAAAAAAUGAAAGCAACAGGAAUCAUGAAAGAAUUUGUGCAAUUUUCUGAGUAAUCAUUCAAAAAGGAUAUAGAACAGUCUUGGGACUAUUGUCUUGCUAUUAAAGAACUAGUCUGGCAUUAUGACAUUUGGAUUCCGUUCCUAGCUGCUCUACUAAUUAGAUGCGUGACCUUGGGCAACUCAGUAAUUUUUCCAGUUUGUGAAAGGGGAUAAUACUUUUCGACACAGGGUUGUUAGGCCUAAUGUCUAUAGAAUUCUUUGAGAUUAUGAGAUGGAAGAUGCUACGGAUCUGCAAAAUUUUACUUGUUACUGGAAUUGCAUUAGAAAUACCACUUUAUUUUAUAGGGCAGAGUUAAAGGUAGGAUGCAAGGCCUUAUUGCUAUCCACAAUCAGAUUUUGGGCAGAGGCAGAACAACACAGUUGGGCACGAGAAUCCUAUUGACAAAAUGAUAGCUGUGUUUGAGCAGAACACUGGAAGGUAUAUCCCAUUCUAUGUGGGUUUUUUAGUAGGGUUGUUUAGAUUGGAGAUAUUGUCUGCCUCUAAAAUACUGUUCUGUCUUGACUUUACUGUGCUAUUUAACCACGCUCAUUUCAGUAACCACUACUACAUGGAGUGUGGAAUCUUCCAUAUAAGAGCAUAGGGGUAAUAUUUGAGGAGAAUGAGGCCAAAUGCUGGCAUCUCAAGCCAAUGGGAAAUGGAGCAGUGUAGAAGAUUCUUUGGCCUCUAAAUUGGACCAGGAUUCAGCUUUGUGGUAUUCUAGCCAUGGAAAUGUCAUGGGCCAAGAUAGCAGGCAAACAAUACUUGUCUUGAGCCCUAAAUCACUUAUGUCCUACUUAGCUUUUGUACACUAUGCAUCAAUUUUGUUUAUUUUUCAAACUUUGUUAAAAUAUGUUAGUAGUUCAGACUGGUAGUAAAUUUAGAAUUGUGUCUUUGCCAUAAAUAUAAGUAAUGAAUAUUUUCCAAGAUUAAUCCAAGAAUAAGGGAAUUGGCCUUAUUAACUAACUUUAGUUUAUUAUCAUGGAAAAAUUGAUAAAAGGUAA